This 1358-nucleotide ribosomal RNA is filed under the name uncultured bacterium. RNAcentral describes it as "bacterial SSU rRNA". It matches the Rfam family "Bacterial small subunit ribosomal RNA", at positions 28 to 1381 of the family's 1533-position model. The record is from RNAcentral.
GAUGAACGCUAGCUACAGGCUUAACACAUGCAAGUCGAGGGGCAGCAUGGUCUUAGCUUGCUAAGGCCGAUGGCGACCGGCGCACGGGUGAGUAACACGUAUCCAACCUGCCGUCUACUCUUGGACAGCCUUCUGAAAGGAAGAUUAAUACAAGAUGGCAUCAUGAGUCCGCAUGUUCACAUGAUUAAAGGUAUUCCGGUAGACGAUGGGGAUGCGUUCCAUUAGAUAGUAGGCGGGGUAACGGCCCACCUAGUCUUCGAUGGAUAGGGGUUCUGAGAGGAAGGUCCCCCACAUUGGAACUGAGACACGGUCCAAACUCCUACGGGAGGCAGCAGUGAGGAAUAUUGGUCAAUGGGCGAGAGCCUGAACCAGCCAAGUAGCGUGAAGGAUGACUGCCCUAUGGGUUGUAAACUUCUUUUAUAAAGGAAUAAAGUCGGGUAUGCAUACCCGUUUGCAUGUACUUUAUGAAUAAGGAUCGGCUAACUCCGUGCCAGCAGCCGCGGUAAUACGGAGGAUCCGAGCGUUAUCCGGAUUUAUUGGGUUUAAAGGGAGCGUAGAUGGAUGUUUAAGUCAGUUGUGAAAGUUUGCGGCUCAACCGUAAAAUUGCAGUUGAUACUGGAUAUCUUGAGUGCAGUUGAGGCAGGCGGAAUUCGUGGUGUAGCGGUGAAAUGCUUAGAUAUCACGAAGAACUCCGAUUGCGAAGGCAGCCUGCUAAGCUGCAACUGACAUUGAGGCUCGAAAGUGUGGGUAUCAAACAGGAUUAGAUACCCUGGUAGUCCACACGGUAAACGAUGAAUACUCGCUGUUUGCGAUAUACGGCAAGCGGCCAAGCGAAAGCGUUAAGUAUUCCACCUGGGGAGUACGCCGGCAACGGUGAAACUCAAAGGAAUUGACGGGGGCCCGCACAAGCGGAGGAACAUGUGGUUUAAUUCGAUGAUACGCGAGGAACCUUACCCGGGCUUAAAUUGCAGAUGAAUUACGGUGAAAGCCGUAAGCCGCAAGGCAUCUGUGAAGGUGCUGCAUGGUUGUCGUCAGCUCGUGCCGUGAGGUGUCGGCUUAAGUGCCAUAACGAGCGCAACCCUUGUUGUCAGUUACUAACAGGUUCCGCUGAGGACUCUGACAAGACUGCCAUCGUAAGAUGUGAGGAAGGUGGGGAUGACGUCAAAUCAGCACGGCCCUUACGUCCGGGGCUACACACGUGUUACAAUGGGGGGUACAGAGGGCCGCUACCACGCGAGUGGAUGCCAAUCCCCAAAACCUCUCUCAGUUCGGACUGGAGUCUGCAACCCGACUCCACGAAGCUGGAUUCGCUAGUAAUCGCGCAUCAGCCACGGCGCGGUGAAUACGUUCCCGGGCCU